GCCCUUGUAGUUCAACGGAUAGAAUAGAAGUUUCCUAAACUUUAGAUAGGGGUUCGAUUCCCCUCAGGGGUA
This 72-nucleotide transfer RNA is filed under the name Bacteroidaceae bacterium. Its description in RNAcentral is "tRNA-Arg". It matches the Rfam family "tRNA". Rfam says of the family: Transfer RNA (tRNA) molecules are approximately 80 nucleotides in length. Their secondary structure includes four short double-helical elements and three loops (D, anti-codon, and T loops). The record is from RNAcentral. Lineage: Bacteria; Pseudomonadati; Bacteroidota; Bacteroidia; Bacteroidales; Bacteroidaceae.